RNAcentral lists this ribosomal RNA (119 nucleotides) under Danio rerio (zebrafish). Lineage: Eukaryota; Metazoa; Chordata; Actinopteri; Cypriniformes; Danionidae. The record is from RNAcentral.
GCCAGCAGCUAGCUCUAUCCAUGUAACUCUCACAUGGUCGCUCAAUGAAGCCAACCAGAGCUGCGUCCGGUCAGUACCUGGAUGGGAGACCACAUGAAAAAGCUAGGUUGCUGCCUGAA